AGCCUGAACGCUGGCGGCGUGGCUAAGACAUGCAAGUCGAACGGAUAUAGCAAUAUAUCAGUGGCGGACGGGUGAGUAAUAAAUCGCUAAUGUACCCCGGAGCCAGGGAUAGCUGCCCGAAAGGGCAGGUAAUACCUGAUGAGACCACGAACAGGCAUCUGUUUGUGCUCAAAGCCGUAAGGCACUCUGGGAGCAGGCGAUUACGUAUCAGCUUGUUGGUGAGGUAACGGCCCACCAAGGCGACGACGCGUAGCUGGUCUGAGAGGACGGCCAGCCACAUUGGGACUGAGACACUGCCCAGACUCCUACGGGGGGCUGCAGUAACGAAUCUUCCGCAAUGCACGAAAGUGUGACGGAGCGACGCCGCGUGUAGGAUGAAGUCCUUCGGGAUGUAACUACUGUCAGGGGAAGAAGUUCUGAUCUACCCAGAGGAAGAGACGGCUAACUCUGCGCCAGCAGCCGCGGUAA
RNAcentral lists this ribosomal RNA (468 nucleotides) under uncultured bacterium. Its description in RNAcentral is "SSU rRNA". It matches the Rfam family "Bacterial small subunit ribosomal RNA", at positions 26 to 523 of the family's 1533-position model. The record is from RNAcentral.